AUAUAGUUGCCUUAGGGCCUUAGGAUGACUAUGAACCUUUGUUUAGAUUCAACACGAGCCUUGUGUUGAAUCUUGGUCUAGGGAUGGUGAUUGAUUUUAGUUACGCGUUUAAUCACAUUAAGGCGUGUUGUUCUUAUUGGGCGUUGGACCCAACUACUUCAUUUUCAUGCAUAUCAAAUAAAACAAGAAAGAAGUACUUCAAAGUAAAAGAGAGCUUAUGCUCUUUACAACAUUUGAUCAAAUCAAAUUACAACCAAAAUCUAAUCUACACAUUCCCAUGGUUCAAACAAAUUUGAAAUGGCCUUUCACAUAGCUCAAUUAUCGUUAGGCUUAGGUUCAUAAUCACCCUUUAAUUAAUUAACACUUUAACUAAUUAAACUUGAAUGCAACAUUUUCAUUUGGUUUUUGUAUCCA
RNAcentral lists this long non-coding RNA (414 nucleotides) under Malus domestica (apple). Its description in RNAcentral is "long non-coding RNA (MDOM_LNC000704)". The record is from RNAcentral. Lineage: Eukaryota; Viridiplantae; Streptophyta; Magnoliopsida; Rosales; Rosaceae.